AGAACGAACGCUGGCGGCAGGCUUAACACAUGCAAGUCGAGCGCCCCUCCUUCAAGCAAGCUUGAAGGAAUUCUUGUCCAAAGAGUUCAAGAAAGCCGGAAAGGCUUUCUUGAUGGAGGGGAGCGGCAGACGGGUGAGUAACACGUGGGAAUCUACCCCUCUCUACGGAACAACUCCGGGAAACUGGAGCUAAUACCGUAUACGCCCCCCUUUAGAGAUAUUGGGGGGGAAAGAUUUAUCGGAGAUGGAUGAGCCCGCGUUGGAUUAGCUAGUUGGUGGGUAAAGGCCUACAAGGCGACGAUCCAUAGCUGGUCUGAGAGGAUGAUCAGCCACACUGGGACUGAGACACGGCCCAGACUCGUACGGGAGCAGCAGUGGGAAUAUUAGACAAGUGGGACGAAAGCUGAUCCAGCAAUGCCGCGUGAGUGAGUGAAGGCCGUUAGGGUAGUAAAGCGUUACGUUUACCCGGA
Molecule: ribosomal RNA, 470 nt
Filed under: uncultured soil bacterium
Lineage: Bacteria
Description: bacterial SSU rRNA
Rfam family: Bacterial small subunit ribosomal RNA
Source: RNAcentral